AUAGUAUUUUGGACAAACGGUACCAUUAUGGUUUAAUAGGGAAUUCGGAAAUAGAGUGAUCUAAUGCCGAAGCUGUCCCCGCAACUGUGAGUGCUGACAAAUGAUCAUAAAGCCACUGUGAAAAACGGGAAGGCGAUCAUUUGGCUAAAAGGCACGAGCCAGGAGACCUGCCGUUACGUUCAAGACAGC
Molecule: non-coding RNA, 189 nt
Filed under: Lysinibacillus contaminans
Lineage: Bacteria; Bacillati; Bacillota; Bacilli; Caryophanales; Bacillaceae
Source: RNAcentral